CCUACGGGAGGCAGCAGUGGGGGAUAUUGCACAAUGGGGGAAACCCUGAUGCAGCAACGCCGCGUGAGUGAAGAAGGUCUUCGGAUUGUAAAGCUCUGUUCUUGGUGAAGAUAAUGACGGUAGCCAAGGAGAAAGCUCCGGCUAACUACGUGCCAGCAGCCGCGGUAAUACGUAGGGAGCGAGCGUUGUCCGGAUUUAUUGGGUUUAAAGGGUGCGUAGGCGGGAUGCCAAGUCAGCGGUAAAAAUGCGGUGCUCAACGCCGUCGAGCCGUUGAAACUGGCGUUCUUGAGUGGGCGAGAAGUAUGCGGAAUGCGUGGUGUAGCGGUGAAAUGCAUAGAUAUCACGCAGAACUCCGAUUGCGAAGGCAGCAUACCGGCGCCCUACUGACGCUGAGGCACGAAAGCGUGGGUAUCGAACAGGAUUAGAUACCCGAGUAGUC
This 439-nucleotide ribosomal RNA is filed under the name uncultured bacterium. RNAcentral's name for it is "partial 16S ribosomal RNA". It matches the Rfam family "Bacterial small subunit ribosomal RNA", at positions 338 to 795 of the family's 1533-position model. The record is from RNAcentral.